CUGGAAGUUCCCAGGCUAGGGGUUGAAUCUGAGCUGUAGCUGCUGGCCUACACCUCAGCCACAGCAAUGCAGGAUACAAGCUGCAUCUGGAACCUACACCAGAGCUCAGAGCAAUGCCAGAUGCUUAACCCAACCCACUGAGUGAGGCCAGGGAUCAAACCCGAAACCUCAUGGUUCCUAGUCAGAUUCGUUUCUGCUGCGCCCUAACAGGGAACUCCCCAGUCAAGUAUCUAUCUUAAUGUCAAGAAAAUACAAACAAUCUAAACAUCUAAUAAUGGAGAAACAAAUAAACAACUGCAGAACAGCUUCAGUAACUGUGGAAUAGCCACAGUAAGAAAAUACUAGACGGCAGUUUAAAACAUGAAGCAAAUAUAUAUGAACGAAAUGUGGACAACAUAUGCAAGGCACAAACAGGGCAAAUAGUUAUGCAAAAGCAAUAAUAUAUACACACACACACAUAUGCACACACAUAAAACCAUACAUAUUACACCCUCUAUAUUGAAAAAUAAAAGAACAAGGAAAUUAAGUAUUUCCCAGAGGGAUAUGAGGAUACUCAUGUAACACAGUAAAAGCAAAAUAACAGUAUUCACAAAACCGCUGAUAGUUCUUAUUUGAGAAGAGAAAAGAAAGGGCCUGGGGUUAGGGAACAAAUCAAUGAAUGAGGUUUAUACGCACCAUUUCCAUUUUUUACUGGCAGUAUAUAGUUGCUUACUACAAUUAAAAAGUAAUCAUAAAAACAUAGCCGCUUGAAAAGUUCAAUUCAACUUAGGUCGAUCCACCUCUUAAAACUUUGCAGAAAAAGAUCCAAAGUAUAAAAGGAGUUUCAAUCAUUAUGGAAAGUUGACUCCAGUUACAAAGACUAGGGUUAGCUAGUUAAGCAACCCAAUCCUUUUGGAUCUGCCAUGGAUGUACCUGACAUAUGCUCUAUGAAGAGUCUGGGCUACUAUACCACCACCACCACAACAACAAUUCAGUAGUUCCUGCUAUGGCACUCAGACUGCAGGAGCUCAGGUUGCUGCAGAGGUGUGGGUUUGAUCCCCAGCCCAGUACAGUGGGUUAGAGAACCUUGCAUUGCUGCAGCUGCACAGGUCACAGCUGCAGCUAAGAUUCAAUUCCUGGCACAGGAACUUGCAUCAAAAAUUCACUGUCUAAGUAUAGCCGGCUUUUGAUUACUGUGUGAACGUCCCUCACACAUCAUGGUUUCCUAUUUCAUUAAGUUCACCUAUUCUCUUCAGUGACAAUAAGCAGUCCCUGGGCUUCAGGUGGCCACAGUAAAUCAUGUUCUCAUCAGUUAUGCUACAGUAUCCUGUUCUAUUUCAAAUCCAUUAUCCAGGGAAAGCUUUCAAAUAGUUUAAAUCAUAUAGUGCUCUUCCCUUCACCUACCCCUAUAUUUUCAUUGCCUUUCCAGUUUAUAAAAUAAAGCUCUGGAAAAGUAUUCAGGAAUUUCCCAUGCAGAAGGUUCCAAUACUUUAUUCAGGUAAGAAAUGUGUAAACCAAACCAUCCACCAUUAUGCCGAUUUGAAAGCACUAAUUGUGGCAGUGGUUUUCUAAAGAAUGUUAUCUAUUUCCAUCCUGUACGAAUUUAGGAGAAACUGUGGUUUCCUGUUCCAGGGUGUUGUCCAAAAACGACUCUACAGAAGUCUGCAAAAAUAAUCCUUGGCGUUUUGUUUCAAGAGGAAUACUUGGAGUGUUUCCCACUGAGAAAGGAAAUGGGCUUGUCCCGACUGCAAAAGGCCUCAUGUACUCCAAAGACAGCAAGAACAUACAUAAUUUUGGUUUUUAACAAUGUUUAAUGAAGUUGCUCUUUCACAAACUCUCUGGGAGGGGGCCUGCGCUGUGAUGUCAAAUAAGCUUCAGGCUGAUUGCCAGUCAGUCGAUCUGUUCUGAGACUUCCCUGAACCUCAGUUUCCUCAGCUCUCUUACAAAAUGGAUGUUACACCUGCCUCUUCAUAAGAUUUGUUGUUAAGGAUUAAAAUGAAUGCUCUGAAUGGAGCAGAAUGCCUGGCACAUAGUAGGGCCAAUAAUGGUUUCACCGAACACACACACAACACACAUUACAUCCACAUAUUUUUUUUUCAUAAAUAAGAGUUUUAGAUUGAGUACAGAACUCAAGAAACAGUAUGCUGAACUAUUUAAGGAAGGAUAGUUCUUUAUGUUUCAUAUUCAUUACAGCAAUGACUUCAGCUUAACAAAACGCUUAAUGAGUAAAAAUAGUUUGAAAUAACAAUACUAAUUUGAAAAGAUAAAAUAAUUUUUAAGAUAUUAGUUGCUAUAAAAGGUAUGUAUAUUAAAUAUACUCUAAAGCACAGCCCCACUCUCAAAAGAACAUCCUUAACUUGAAAAGGUAAAAAAAAUGCAAACAUUCUUCAGCAUCUUCCCUUUAAUUCUGACUCACUGAAGGCCAAGUUUGCCAGCAGAGACAUUUCAGGCCUGAAAGGAGUGGCUGGAAGGUUAGGCACACAAACUGUUUUCUCUGCACCAAGGACCUGAAGAGCCCUCCUAGCAUUCAUGGUACAACCCCUUGAAAAGAGGGCACAGGCUGCAGAAAGGAUGGCAACUUCACCCCAUCAGAGUUCACACUCAUGGCCAGCAAAUUCAAAUCCCAUCUGGAAGGAGGGGCAGCCCCCACAGGGAGGCUUUCACCUCUACUCCUGGCCUGGAAGGUUUUUCCCUGCCAGCCCCGUGUCCUAGACAGGUUCACAGGCAUCUACUCGCCAGCCAAGGGAAAGGGCGCAUGUCCUCAGCCAUGGCUGGGAACUGGGAAGGGCUCUGUGCCCCUUCCACAUGGUGAAGCAGCUAUAAAACUAGAGCAGCAAACUCUCAUCUGCCCCUCUAUUUACAGCUCAUGGCGGGGGGAGUCUUGCAAACACUUUAAUAUAGCCUGAAGAAAACAAGGGGUGGGGGGAGAAGCAGAGCUGGAUACAAAGGGAAGCUCUAUAUAUAGAAUGUAAUUAUGUAAGAGUUUAACCAGGGAAGCAGAAUCAGAAAUUCAUCCUGCACAGAAGACACGGCUGUCUUGGCCGCUUUCUCCAUCUCCUCCAGAACAGGAAGUCCCCCUGAAUACUUGGCUGGCUGACCAGCACAGAUUUAAUGCAGAGUCUUUUUUUUUUUUUUUUUUUUUUUUGCAACUUUUAAAUCACUUAUGUGUUUUGCCCUGGAUUUCAGGACAAAGAACAUACUUCAUAUAACGCAUUCAACCUUUUGUACUUUUUUCAGCUUAAGCUAUGAGCGGCCUGGAAUCCCCUGAAGAGUACUAUCUAACAGAACUUUCUCUAACAAGAGAGAUCCUCAGUAUCUUCACCAUCCAAUACAGUAGGUGCUAGACAAGUGUGGCUACUUAGGGCUCCAAAACAUGGCUAGGGAGCUGAGUGUAUUUGUUUGUCCUUUGCCAGGGCUGCGUAACAAAGCAUCACAAAGUAGAUGGCUUACGUACCAGAAAUGUAUUGUCCCAUGAUUCUGGAAGCCAGAAAUCCAAAACCAAAGUGUGAACAGGGUUGAUUCCUUCCCAGGGCUGUGAGGUGAAAUCUGUCCCAUGCCUCCCUCCUAGUUUCUGGGGGUUUGCAGGCAAUCUUCGCCAUUCCUUGACUUGCAGAAACAGCACCUUAAUCUCUGCCUUCAGGUUCACAUGGCAUUCUUCUUGUGUAUGCAUCUGUGUCCCUGUUUCCCCUUUUUAGAAGGAAGCUUGUCCUAUUGGAUUAGGGGCUCAUCCUACUCCAGUAUAAUCACCUUAACUAACUACAAUUGCAAUGACCCUAUUUUCAAGAAAGAGUACAUUCUGAGGUACAGGGGUUAGGACCUCAAUGUAUAAAUUAGGAGAGAAUACAAUUCAAACCAAAAGACUGAGGGUGUUAUUUUUAAUUUUAUUUCAUUCUUAUUGGUUUGAAUUUAAAUGGUCACAGGUAGCUAGCCACUACUGUUUUAAGACAGCACAGCUCUAAAAUAUUUUCUCUCUCACUGGACUCAUUCACCAGGGGCUUACUGGAUUCCAGGCACUGUGUGAAGCCCUACACCUGGGGUGUACUUUCACCACCAGUUACCCAAGGAGGAAGCCUAGGUUCAGAGAGGGUAAAUACUUGUUCUUUGUUCAAGGUCAAAAAGCCAGCAAGUCAGAACUUGACUCAGCAGGUAAAGUUUUGUUACUCCAUAGCCCAUGCUUAAGAGCUAAUCCAGCAGCUGCUUCCAUUACAGUUUAACUUCUGAAACUGUCCUGGGACAUAAGACAGUCACAUGGAUGAUUACAUUCCCAGCUGCCUCUAAUGGGAAGACAUUUUAUUAUUAUCCCCACUUAACAAAUGAGAAAACUGAGGCUUUCAAAGGUUACAGCCCAACUAGAAAAAUUAUGCUUCAGGUUACAGAGCAAAUGAAUGUCCUCAACUCAUAUCUGUCAGGAUUCUAAAACUCUCUUCCUGAGCUACUCUGCCACAUGACUUCAUACAAGUUAUUAAACAUAUGCUUACAUACCAAUAAAAAUAAUGGAAAAGACUACACUACAUGAUAUGAAGUUUUCCAGAGCCUCCAAAGGGAUUCACCUUUCAAAGAGCCCUUGCCGUUUAACACACAGAACUAAAAGACUCUCUUUUCUAACCUUCUACAAUACACACCCUUAUGCCAAGUGUAUUCCUUGAAGAUAUUUCUGGCGAGAAAGGUUUAGCUCAAGUAAUGGUUUUUGCAAGAGAGUUUAAGGAUGAAGUAUGUGACUUAAAAAAAACCCGACAUCAUGGCUUUUCAAGGGGAAAAUUGAAACGUUAUUUCAAGUCCCCAGAUAAUAAGAUCAAUAGACAACUUCCCAGUGGAGGCAUUUGCUGCCGACUGACUAAAGAAACAGUCUCCACAGUUUCCCUUAAGAGGCCACCCCACAGUUUAAUCGUCCUCACUGUUAGGGUUUUUGUUCACAUCUAUAGCCUAAAAUUCUUUCUGCUAAAUUUCAACAUGGUAUCCACCAGCUGCUCUCCUAGAUAAACAAUGCCUCUUAGGGAUUUGCACCCACUAAAAACCCUUGACUGGUAACCAUUCAUGCAGUCCCUACAAAUUACCUGCAAGGUGACUAUCAAAUUAUUAAUAUGGUUUGAAAACACAAAAGAAUAAUAUGAAACAAUCUU
RNAcentral lists this long non-coding RNA (5099 nucleotides) under Sus scrofa (pig). RNAcentral's name for it is "lncRNA (ENSSSCG00040016013.1)". Lineage: Eukaryota; Metazoa; Chordata; Mammalia; Artiodactyla; Suidae. The record is from RNAcentral.